RNAcentral lists this ribosomal RNA (279 nucleotides) under uncultured bacterium. RNAcentral describes it as "partial 16S ribosomal RNA". It matches the Rfam family "Bacterial small subunit ribosomal RNA", at positions 506 to 784 of the family's 1533-position model. The record is from RNAcentral.
UGCCAGCCGCCGCGGUAAUACAUACUGUGCAAACGUUAUUCGGAUUCACUGGGCUUAAAGGGUGCGUAGGUGGCUUGUUAAGUAGGGUGUGAAAGCCCCUGGCUCAACCAGGGAAUUGCACUCUAUACUGGCGAGCUUGAGUGAGAUAGGGGUGUCCGGAACUGCCAGUGGAGCGGUGAAAUGUGUUGAUAUUGGCAGGAACGCCGGUGGCGAAAGCGGGACACUGGGUCUCAACUGACACUGAGGCACGAAAGCCAGGGGAGCGAACGGGAUUAGAUA